UGGGGAAUAUUGCACAAUGGGCGCAAGCCUGAUGCAGCCAUGCCGCGUGUGUGAAGAAGGCCUUCGGGUUGUAAAGCACUUUCAGCGAGGAGGAAGGUGGUGAACUUAAUACGUUCAUCAAUUGACGUUACUCGCAGAAGAAGCACCGGCUAACUCCGUGCCAGCAGCCGCGGUAAUACGGAGGGUGCAAGCGUUAAUCGGAAUUACUGGGCGUAAAGCGCACGCAGGCGGUUUGUUAAGUCAGAUGUGAAAUCCCCGGGCUCAACCUGGGAACUGCAUUUGAAACUGGCAAGCUAGAGUCUCGUAGAGGGGGGUAGAAUUCCAGGUGUAGCGGUGAAAUGCGUAGAGAUCUGGAGGAAUACCGGUGGCGAAGGCGGCCCCCCUGGACGAAGACUGACGCUCAGGUGCGAAAGCGUGGGGAGCAAAACAGGAUUAGAUACCCUGGUAGUCCACGCUGUAAACGAUGUCGAUUUGGAGGUUGUGCCCCUUGAGGCGUGGCUUCCGGAGCUAACGCGUUAAAUCGACCGCCUGGGGAGUACGGCCGCAAGGUUAAAAACUCAAAAGG
RNAcentral lists this ribosomal RNA (565 nucleotides) under uncultured bacterium. RNAcentral describes it as "partial 16S ribosomal RNA". It matches the Rfam family "Bacterial small subunit ribosomal RNA", at positions 355 to 908 of the family's 1533-position model. The record is from RNAcentral.